This is an RNA transcript of Raphanus sativus (radish), 1018 nucleotides long. RefSeq lists it as uncharacterized. The transcript is spliced from 4 exons. NCBI's taxonomy places the organism in Eukaryota, Viridiplantae, Streptophyta, Magnoliopsida, Brassicales, Brassicaceae. The record is from RefSeq and is a predicted model, not a curated record.
UUAUUGAUAUUUUUUAUUCUUUUUUCUCUCUCUUUUUUCCUCGUCAUUUCCGUUAAAUAUUUCUAAUCCAGCAAUGUCUUCGACCACCACAAGUUCACAUCUCAGUUGGAUCCGUCGUAUACGCUAACGGAAAGCAUCCGACCUCCACCCCCUCUCGAUCCGCUAACAUGGACCGUCGGUAGGACAAACGGCGGCGGUAGCAGAAGUGGUGGCGGCGAUGCUCAACCGCAGCAGCAGCAGAGAGGGUUUGGUUCAACGGUAUCCAGAAUCAUAAGGAUCGCAGUGUUCUGGUACUUCGCUUCAAAGUUCUUUUCGCCUAAGCAGAAAUCGAUGGAUCCUUCUCAGACUCAUCACCUCAUGACCAAUCUCUACCACAAGGGUGAAUCUUUGGAUAUGUGGUUUUCUCUACCAGAGCAAGAGAAGUUCAGUGACUUUAGCAAUAAAGGUGCGCUCUAUUGGCUUGAGACGAAUACACCUUAUGCUGUAUGGACACCAGAGAGUAUCAGGACCCGAUCACUCAAGUAUUAUCCAUCUGAGACAAUACAAAAUAAUGGAAGUCUGUAUGCUCAUGUCUUCUUUGUUCGAUCUGAAGUUGACAAAUAACAGCCAGCGUUGAGACAGAUACAUAGCUCCAGGAGAUUGUCUCGUUUCUCUCGUGUAACUGCGUGGGUGGAGGAAAAGCUUACGUCUUCCGUAGGCGGCGCGUGAAGACCGGUGAUUGUUACAGCGAAUUUUGAAUACUUACAUUAGUGUCGAUGAAUACCAUUUCAAUGGUCAGACCAUUGGCGGCUGAGUACUGCCUCCAAAGACGGAUGAUCUUAACUCGGAUUCUCCACAUUGACUUGAAAGUCUUAAGCUCAGAAACUGUGUUCAUGGCCGCGAUUGUAAAAUAAAUAUAGAAUGUUUGUAGUUUGAUAGAGGAUGUGUAUUGAACUACAUAUAGACAAAAUCAUUAUAUAUUAAUAAUGUUUCCAAUAACGAUGGUGGUCGUAUUAACUAUACAAUAUCACUUAUGGCA